AGACCCGAAACCCGGUGAUCUAGCCAUGGGCAGGUUGAAGGUUGGGUAACACUAACUGGAGGACCGAACCGACUAAUGUUGAAAAAUUAGCGGAUGACCUGUGGCUGGGGGUGAAAGGCCAAUCAAACCGGGAGAUAGCUGGUUCUCCCCGAAAGCUAUUUAGGUAGCGCCUCGUGAAUUCAUCUCCGGGGGUAGAGCACUGUUUCGGCUAGGGGGCCAUCCCGGCUUACCAACCCGAUGCAAACUGCGAAUACCGGAGAAUGUUAUCACGGGAGACACACGGCGGGUGCUAACGUCCGUCGUGAAGAGGGAAACAACCCAGACCGCCAGCUAAGGUCCCAAAGUCAUGGUUAAGUGGGAAACGAUGUGGGAAGGCCCAGACAGCCAGGAUGUUGGCUUAGAAGCAGCCAUCAUUUAAAGAAAGCGUAAUAGCUCACUGGUCGAGUCGGCCUGCGCGGAAGAUGUAACGGGGCUAAACCAUGCACCGAAGCUGCGGCAGCGAACGUAUCACUUAAAGCGAUUCAGCGGGUUACGAUUGACGGAGCGAAGCGACGUCAAAGCGUAUACAAAGUCGAGUCGGUUUAAGGAUACGUUCGUUGGGUAGGGGAGCGUUCUGUAAGCCUGUGAAGGUGGCCUGUGAGGGUUGCUGGAGGUAUCAGAAGUGCGAAUGCUGACAUAAGUAACGAUAAAGCGGGUGAAAAGCCCGCUCGCCGGAAGACCAAGGGUUCCUGUCCAACGUUAAUCGGGGCAGGGUGAGUCGACCCCUAAGGCGAGGCCGAAAGGCGUAGUCGAUGGGAAACGGGUUAAUAUUCCCGUACUUGGUGUUACUGCGAAGGGGGGACGGAGAAGGCUAUGUUGGCCGGGCGACGGUUGUCCCGGUUUAAGCGUGUAGGUGUGUGUUCCAGGUAAAUCCGGUUCACUUUAACACUGAGGCGUGAUGACGAGGCACUACGGUGCUGAAGUAACAAAUGCCCUGCUUCCAGGAAAAGCCUCUAAGCAUCAGGUAACAUCAAAUCGUACCCCAAACCGACACAGGUGGUCAGGUAGAGAAUACCAAGGCGCUUGAGAGAACUCGGGUGAAGGAACUAGGCAAAAUGGUGCCGUAACUUCGGGAGAAGGCACGCUGACACGUAGGUGAAGUGAUUUACUCACGGAGCUGAAGUCAGUCGAAGAUACCAGCUGGCUGCAACUGUUUAUUAAAAACACAGCACUGUGCAAACACGAAAGUGGACGUAUACGGUGUGACGCCUGCCCGGUGCCGGAAGGUUAAUUGAUGGGGUCAGCGCAAGCGAAGCUCCUGAUCGAAGCCCCGGUAAACGGCGGCCGUAACUAUAACGGUCCUAAGGUAGCGAAAUUCCUUGUCGGGUAAGUUCCGACCUGCACGAAUGGCGUAAUGAUGGCCAGGCUGUCUCCACCCGAGACUCAGUGAAAUUGAACUCGCUGUGAAGAUGCAGUGUACCCGCGGCAAGACGGAAAGACCCCGUGAACCUUUACUAUAGCUUGACACUGAACAUUGAGCCUUGAUGUGUAG
This 1531-nucleotide ribosomal RNA is filed under the name Salmonella enterica subsp. enterica serovar Dublin. Its description in RNAcentral is "partial 23S ribosomal RNA". It matches the Rfam family "Bacterial large subunit ribosomal RNA", at positions 711 to 2141 of the family's 2925-position model. Lineage: Bacteria; Pseudomonadati; Pseudomonadota; Gammaproteobacteria; Enterobacterales; Enterobacteriaceae. The record is from RNAcentral.